Callithrix jacchus (white-tufted-ear marmoset) is the source of this 3253-nucleotide non-coding RNA. The record is from RefSeq and is a predicted model, not a curated record. NCBI's taxonomy places the organism in Eukaryota, Metazoa, Chordata, Mammalia, Primates, Cebidae.
GUUGCCCUGUGGAAAGACUCACCUGCCAACCACCUGAAGCCUCCAGCCUCCAGCCCUGUGAAUUAGCUCCUUGGACACACAGGUUCUUGGCUUUUCUCUCUUUGUGAAAGCUCACAGUGCCUCUCAUCUCAACUCAAAUGAUUAUCUGAUGCUUCUCAACGACACGCAAAAAGUCAUUCUUCCUGAGAACAACAGCCUUCCCAAGCCACACACUGGCUCUCUGUGGCUGGUGUUCAGCUUCGACUUAGCAGGUCCUUUCCCAGACAUGGCAGGAAAAUGCCCUCCUAAGAGGACGAAGAAGGGCAAGCUGCCCGGCAGGUCUCUGAAAACCUCACCUCAGGAGAUCCCCUCAUGAACCCACUCCACCAGGAGCCCCAGGAGCUUAAGAAGUCCAGGCUUCCUCUGCAAACCCAGCAGCAACUCUGGCAAAGCGGGAGGUUAGACUCCCAUCUGUACCCCAGGAAAUCCAGGGGGCAGAGCAGCCUUGGUCUCCAGGCCCCGCUUCCAAGGCAUCUCCAGCAUAAGACUCACCUGCAUGGAACUUCAGCCAGGCACAGAUAGCAGCGUUCCACCUCGCUGAGAGGGGACUCCCAGAAGGAGGCACAGGCCACCACCUUUGCUGUUUGGAGGUUGUUGCCUUCAGGCUCUGGGGACUCUAGGGUGAGCAGCAACUGGAGCAGUUCCUUGCACAGCACAGCAGCUCUACAAAGAGGCGGCCAGACUGCUUUUCAUGUGGGUCUCAGAUCCCAUUGCUCUUUGCUGGGCCAAAUUUCCAAGCUGAGGUACACAACCAUUCCGACUGGUGUGUUUUCCAGCAGGUAGCAGUCCCAAACCUCCCUGGGAUGGAGCUCCCAGAAGGAUGGGUGGGCUACCAUCAUUGCUGUUUCACAGCUUCAGCCAUUGCUGCCUUCAAGCUUUGGAGAGUUUGAGGCUACGAGGGGCUGGAGCAGACCCCCAACAUACCCACAGUUGCUCUGCAAAGCAUGCAGACUGCUUUUGUAUGUGUGUCCCCAAUCCCAUUCCUCCUCACUCAGUGGGACCUUCCCCCGGGGUCCCUUGCCACCCCCACCAGUGUGUCAUUAAAAUGGCCCUACUGCCCAAAGCAAUUUACAGAUUCAGUGGUAUUUCUAUCAAGCUACCAAUGGCAUCCUUCACAGAAUUGGAAAAAAACUACUUAAAAAAAAAAGGACAAUUAGCCAAGGCAAUUCUAAGCAAAAAGAGCAAAGCUAGAGGCAUGCAUCUUCAAUAUAUACUCGACUUCAAACUAUAGUAUGGGGCUACAGUAACCAAAACAGCAUGGUACUGGUACAAAAACAGAUACAUUGACCAAUAGAGAAGGAGAGACACAAGACAGAAUAGAGAGACUGGAGAUAAGGCUACAAACCUACAACCAUCUGGUCUUUCACAAAGUUGACCAAAACAAGCAAUAGGAAAAGGACUCCCUAUUUAAUCAAUGAUGCUGGAGUAACUGGCUAGCCAUAUGCAGAAAAUUGAAACUGGACCCCUUCCUUACAUAAUAUACAAAAAUCAACUCAAGAUGUAUGAAGCAUUUAAAUGCAAAACCCAUAACUUUAAAAACCCUGGAAGACAUCCUAGACAAUACCAUUCUGGACAUAGGAACUGGGAAAGAUUUUAUGAUAAAGACACCAAAAGCAAUCACAACAAAAUCAAAAAUGGGCAAAUGAGAUCUAAUUAAAUUUAAGAGCUUCUGCACAGAAAAAAAAAAAAAAAAACUACCAGAAGAGUAUUACAGAGUACCCAGUGACUACCUGGCAUGUGAUUUAAUACAGGUUUGUGGUUAAGCGACUUUAUAAAGAAGUUAAGAGAUCCCAGAUUUAUUGAGUAAGAAAAUUUCUGAAUGAUCUUGACAUUUUACUCCUUAAUUUCUGUCCUCUUUCAUUAACUGUCAUAUCCUUAUAGAAAAUUAUAACAGCUGUCCAUUGCCCAUUAGCAGAGGUUGGCCAACUCUUUCUAUAAAGAUCCAGAGAGUAAAUUCAUUUGUUUUUGCAGGACACAAGGUCUUUGUUGAAACUUUUCAAUGCCAGUGCUGUGAAUUGAAGUCAGCUGUAGGAGACAUGUCUCUCCAUGGGUAUGGCUGCUGUCCUGUAAAACUCCACUUACAAAGGCCUGACCGCCAGGAACCUUGGUCAAAGAGCAGUGCAGUUUUGAUGAAAUACGUCUUCAGUGUUUGACUCACUGCAAGCCCAGCCUCCCUAUCGAGAAGCAGUCGAGGUGCAGCGAUGUGGCUCCCACCUUGAAAAACGAUCUCCAGCCAACUCUGAGACAAGGAACGCCUCUGGGAGCUAUGCUAGUAACUGGAAGAAAUGUGAGUGUGGGGUCUGCCUGCAUAGAGAAAGGGGCAUGCACGUCCAGGAGCCCUCGAUUCUGCAAGGCGGUCACGCGCAGCUAAGGUGGGGAAAUACCAGUUAAAGACAGAUUUGGGUGUGACUGCAAGUCACAAACAUCUCUGAGUGUUUUGAUCACUGAAUUUCUGUCCGCCCGACGACAGACCUGUCUGGUCGGGUGGGCUACCAUUUGUUUUGCCCUGUUCAAAGUUUUUAUCAGUGACUUGAUUGACAAUGCCAUGUUUAAGGUUUAUUUCUAGAGAAAAAUCACAUGCACGUCCUGGAUUCCUUAAGACUUCUCAUUGUCACACAGUGAAAUGCACAUGCUCUUCUCCCACUUAAAGUUUUGAUUUUUUUUUUUCCCUGACUGCUGGGAGUUUGGUGUGAGUUCUGUUCCUUCCUGGUGGUGAUCUGCUGAACUGGGCACUGGAAGCCCCACCUCCUCUGUUCCCCAACUCCUUGUGAAUAAGGUUGACUGUAAAUGGAGUUUCUACAAGUUGCUUCCGUGAUUUGUGCAGACUGGCAAUAGAUGAGAAUGCUGAAUGGACUGGGGCUGUGUACACCCAUCAAAGCUAUAGGGCCCUUGUACUGCCCAGCCUAGAGGGACACGUUGGAGCUGAGAUCAAACCAUGUCUGUGCAACUUGAAGCCCUGGAUCUCUGCAGCUAUGCUAUAUAGGGAACCUCAGAUCUGGAAGGACACUAGAUCCCAUUCUCUCCAACUUCUUGAUUGGACAGAUGGAAGAAGGGUGGCACACACAGCUAGUAGAGGACAAGCCAAGCUCAGAAACCAGAUUUCUUGUUGCCCAGUCCAAUGUUCUGACUAUAGUGCACUGCCAAAGGAAAAUUCUGUGAAGUUAGUUCUGUCCACGAUCUGUCUAGUCUUAAUAAAGGAUGGUUUUCCUGUGGA